This 322-nucleotide unclassified non-coding RNA is filed under the name fungal sp. RNAcentral's name for it is "partial internal transcribed spacer region". Lineage: Eukaryota; Fungi. The record is from RNAcentral.
AAGUCGUAACAAGGUUUCCGUAGGCACGUAUCCAACGUUCAAACCCCCCGUGAACCUUUAUUGUGGCACGCCUAUCCGUUAGAAAGUGGCAAUCCCUGGUAAAUCAUCGCCGAACAGUUUUGAUUCAGGGACUUCUGCGUGGGUAGGACAACUGCGCGAGCAAGUGGCCUGGCAUCCCUCUGCUUGUUAGUGUCUGAAAGUGUCACUAGCUGUACGGGUGGCGCAAUCUCGGCCCCCUAAUCACCUUUGCAUGAAAACGGGCCUGCGCUUAAUUGUGGCCACCAAACUCGAACAACUGUUAACAAUGGAUAACUUGGUUCUC